RNAcentral lists this small nuclear RNA (307 nucleotides) under Erinaceus europaeus (western European hedgehog). RNAcentral's name for it is "7SK RNA". It matches the Rfam family "7SK RNA". Rfam says of the family: 7SK was discovered as an abundant small nuclear RNA in the mid-70s but a possible function has only recently been suggested. Two independent studies have found that 7SK RNA binds the CDK9/cyclin T complex (known as elongation factor P-TEFb). P-TEFb activates transcription by phosphorylating the C-terminal domain of RNA polymerase II. Lineage: Eukaryota; Metazoa; Chordata; Mammalia; Eulipotyphla; Erinaceidae. The record is from Rfam by way of RNAcentral.
GGAUGUGAGGGCAAUCUGGCUGCAACAUCUGUCACCCCAUUGAUCGCCAGGGUUCAUUCGGCUGAUCUGGCUGGCUAGGCAGUUGUCCCCUUCCUCCAUCACCACUCCAUGUGUGUCCCUCAUGAAGCUGCACGCUCGGUCAAAGAGGACAGCCUUCCCUGAAUAGAGAUGGACUGGUCUUUGGUCAAGGGUAUAAGAGUAGCUGCACUCCCCUGCUAGAACCUCCAAACAAGUUCUCAAGAUACAGGAAGUAAAAUCUUAUAAGCUACUUUUUUGUUGUUUUAUUAGUGAUUUAAUAAUGAUCAAG